GUGGGCUGCUCCCUUCAAUUUUAGAAUUAGAACAAUACAGAGAAGAUUAGCAUGGCCCCUGCACAAGGAUGACAUGAAAAAUUGUGAAGUGGUCCAUAUUUUG
Molecule: small nuclear RNA, 103 nt
Organism: Urocitellus parryii (Arctic ground squirrel)
Lineage: Eukaryota; Metazoa; Chordata; Mammalia; Rodentia; Sciuridae
Source: Ensembl